Molecule: ribosomal RNA, 294 nt
Filed under: uncultured Glissomonadida
Lineage: Eukaryota; Cercozoa; Glissomonadida
Description: partial 18S ribosomal RNA
Rfam family: Eukaryotic small subunit ribosomal RNA (bases 81-294)
Source: RNAcentral
GACUUCUGGUGUAAUGUGCCUGGCCUGUGAGUGCCGGUGCGCGUUUACCAUCCUUCUGGGGAACGGGUCUACCCUUUACUGUAUCCAGAUCAUUUACUUUGAAAAAAUUAGAGUGUUUAAAGCAAGCAAUUGCCAUGAACACAUUAGCAUGUAAUAAUAAUCUAGGACUUCGGUUCUAUUUUGUUGGUUUCUAUAACUGAAGUAAUGAUUGAUAGGAUAGUUGGGGAUGCUAGUAUUGGCCCGUCAGAGGUGAAAUUCUUGGAUUCGGUCAAGACUAACUUAUGCGAAAGCAUU